This 370-nucleotide unclassified non-coding RNA is filed under the name soil metagenome. Its description in RNAcentral is "partial contains 5.8S ribosomal RNA, internal transcribed spacer 2, and large subunit ribosomal RNA". The stretch from base 1 to 120 matches the Rfam family "5.8S ribosomal RNA", at positions 35 to 154 of the family's 154-position model. The record is from RNAcentral.
GAUGAAGAACGCAUCGAAAUGCGAUAAGUAAUGUGAAUUGCAGAAUUCAGUGAACCAUCGAAUCUUUGAACGCACAUUGCGCCCGGCAGUAAUCUGCCGGGUAUGCCUGUCCGAGCGUCAUUUCUACCCUCGAGCGAGUCCAGCAUCUAGGUGCUGGGCCUCGCCCGGCGUUGGAGCACUACGGGAAGCCCUGUGCUGUCCCCCGUAGGCCCCGAAAUGAAGUGGCGGUCCUGCCGCGGCGCCCCCUGCGUAGUAUAACAGCUCGCUUCGGGACCCGGUGGAGGCCUGCCGUCAAACCUAUACUCUCUAAGUUUGACCUCGGAUCAGGUAGGGUUACCCGCUGAACUUAAGCAUAUCAAUAAGCGGAGGA